UACGUAGGGGGCAAGCGUUGUCCGGAUUUAUUGGGCGUAAAGAGCGUGUAGGCGGCCAUGUAGGUCCGUUGUGAAAACUCGAGGCUCAACCUCGAGACGCCGAUGGAAACCAUGUGGCUAGAGUCCGGAAGAGGAGAGUGGAAUUCCUGGUGUAGCGGUGAAAUGCGCAGAUAUCAGGAAGAACACCCGUGGCUAAGGCGGCUCUCUGGGACGGUACUGACGCUGAGACGCGAAAGCGUGGGGAGCGAACAGG
Molecule: ribosomal RNA, 253 nt
Filed under: uncultured bacterium
Lineage: Bacteria
Description: partial 16S ribosomal RNA
Rfam family: Bacterial small subunit ribosomal RNA
Source: RNAcentral